This 551-nucleotide ribosomal RNA is filed under the name uncultured Alphaproteobacteria bacterium. RNAcentral's name for it is "bacterial SSU rRNA". It matches the Rfam family "Bacterial small subunit ribosomal RNA", at positions 349 to 917 of the family's 1533-position model. The record is from RNAcentral. Lineage: Bacteria; Pseudomonadati; Pseudomonadota; Alphaproteobacteria.
CAGCAGUAGGGAAUCUUAGACAAUGGGGGCAACCCUGAUCUAGCCAUGCCGCGUGUGUGAUGAAGGCCCUAGGGUCGUAAAGCACUUUCGCCAGAGAUGAUAAUGACAGUAUCUGGUAAAGAAACCCCGGCUAACUCCGUGCCAGCAGCCGCGGUAAUACGGAGGGGGUUAGCGUUGUUCGGAAUUACUGGGCGUAAAGCGCACGUAGGCGGAUUAGUAAGUUAGAGGUGAAAUCCCAGGGCUCAACCCUGGAACUGCCUUUAAUACUGCUAGUCUUGAGUUCGAGAGAGGUAAGUGGAAUUCCGAGUGUAGAGGUGAAAUUCGUAGAUAUUCGGAGGAACACCAGUGGCGAAGGCGGCUUACUGGCUCGAUACUGACGCUGAGGUGCGAAAGUGUGGGGAGCAAACAGGAUUAGAUACCCUGGUAGUCCACACCGUAAACGAUGAAUGCCAGACGUCAGCAAGUAUACUUGUUGGUGUCACACCUAACGGAUUAAGCAUUCCGCCUGGGGAGUACGGUCGCAAGAUUAAAACUCAAGGGAAAUUGACGGA